Molecule: transfer RNA, 70 nt
Filed under: Balanoglossus carnosus
Lineage: Eukaryota; Metazoa; Hemichordata; Enteropneusta; Ptychoderidae
Description: tRNA-Arg
Rfam family: tRNA
About the family: Transfer RNA (tRNA) molecules are approximately 80 nucleotides in length. Their secondary structure includes four short double-helical elements and three loops (D, anti-codon, and T loops).
Source: RNAcentral
AAGAGGAUAGUCUAACACAAGACAUUUGAUUUCGGCUCAAAAGAUUUUGGUAUCGAUCCCAACCCUCUUU